CGGUUGGUCGUAGGUUCAUGAAAGUUUAAACCUGUGUGUUGGUGCUCCUGAUGUUGCACUUUUAAUAGGAUUAAUGCUUAAUAUUUUGUAUGUAGAAUUAAUGCUAAACUGGACUAAGAGAUGAUAUUUUGUAUGUAGAAUUAAUGCUAAACUGGACUAAGAGAUGAAUUUUUGGAGCAACAGUUUGAUGCUCAAUAUUGCUGUCACAUUAGGAGAUGAUUUGAUAAUGAAACUUGCACAACAAAUUCUACACUAUUGGAUUGCUAAAACUACAUUUCAUCUUACCUUUGGUGGUUUGGGUCCUUUGUGAUUAUUUUUGUUUUUUAUAAGCAGAAAGACUAGACGGAAGAGCCAUGGUGUUGUUAACCUGC
RNAcentral lists this unclassified non-coding RNA (371 nucleotides) under Hevea brasiliensis (rubber tree). The record is from RNAcentral. Lineage: Eukaryota; Viridiplantae; Streptophyta; Magnoliopsida; Malpighiales; Euphorbiaceae.